AUACUAUUUCCUUCAUUUUUCAGUUGCCAUGAGCUAUUAAUGCGAGAUUGGACAUUUCUUAGCAAAAUCCAAAUACUGACGGGAAUCAACUGAAAAUCUUAUCGGCACUCACUGGGUCCUCAGUAGUCUCCAGUCUGUUCCUCCAUCCCACCAAACCAAGGUUAUUAGACUAGGCGUCCAGUAUUCCACUCCACCAGACCAGCCCCAAUCCCUCAUGUUUCGCAUCCCCGUGCCUCAGGACAUUGAGGUUAUGAAGAGGUGAGGUUCAAGGCCUGAGGAGAAGCAACUUGAGUUUGCUGCAUCCCUGGCCAAAAUGCCUCAAGGAUCCCAUUUAAAUUCCCAAGGCUUAUGGUUCUCGUAGUAGGGGUCUGUUGAUAUGAAUUGAUGUGUGCCUUGUGUGGUGCAUGUGGUUCUAUACAGUAAUUUGUCCUAAAAAAGAAAGACUACCAGAUUGAAACACCCCGAGAAUUUCGGUGCAUAAAUUCCUGAAAAAGACUAACAAAAUUAUUUUGGUAAAUUCGGUGUGGCUUCUAUUUUUCUAACUGAUUUUUUUGUUGGCAAUGUUGGUGUUGUCGAUUAAAAUCUUGACAAUAGAAAACUUGUUUACCUAGGUUCUAUUUGUCUGUGUUACCUUCUGAGGUCCAGUCAGACAAGAGAUGAUUUAUAUAAAGGUCGAUGGAUUGAUGUUAGCGGGGCUUGGUUGGCGUCGUGGUUUAAGUUGAUUGUUGUUCUGUAGGGUUAUUCCUUGGCAGAAUAAGGGAUUGAUCUUGGUAGGGCUUGGUUGGCGUCAUGGCUUGAGUUGAUUGUUGUUCUAUUGGUUUCCUCGUCUGCACCCCUCCUGGGGCCGAGUAUUUAUACUCGUAGGUCUCGUUUCCUAGGACUUGUAGAGGUGUUUUUGGUACCAGUAGUUUUAGUGGAGUCCUUGUCGAGUCUAAGUAGGUCUCCCGCAGCCUUCCCAAAGUAGGUCUAUUUGACGUUUCCUAAGUCUCAGGGGCGUGCCAUAAUUUUUACACCGACAGUUGGAAAACUAAGUUUUCUAUGUGGUGGAAAAACUGAACUGAAGAAACCAAGUGGUGAACGAGUGUAUCAGUGAUUCCAGAAAUAGAUACUUUGCAUCAGGAGGAAACACAUUGUCUUGAUAAAGUGUAAUGUACAGUGUGGUAUGUUUUACAUUGUGUAUAUUGUAUAGAGAUGGUAAUGAUAUUAUUAUUUCUUCCUA
This is a non-coding RNA of Oryza sativa Japonica Group (Japanese rice), 1219 nucleotides long. The record is from RefSeq and is a predicted model, not a curated record. NCBI's taxonomy places the organism in Eukaryota, Viridiplantae, Streptophyta, Magnoliopsida, Poales, Poaceae.